GGGGAUUUAGCUCAAUGGUAGAGCACUUGCCUAGCAAGUGCAAGGCCCUGGGUUCAGACCCCAGCUCCG
This 69-nucleotide transfer RNA is filed under the name Rattus norvegicus (Norway rat). It matches the Rfam family "tRNA". From Rfam's summary of the family: Transfer RNA (tRNA) molecules are approximately 80 nucleotides in length. Their secondary structure includes four short double-helical elements and three loops (D, anti-codon, and T loops). Lineage: Eukaryota; Metazoa; Chordata; Mammalia; Rodentia; Muridae. The record is from Rfam by way of RNAcentral.